CCUACGGGCGGCAGCAGUGGGGAAUCUUGGUCAAUGGACGAGAGUCUGAACCAGCCAAGUAGCGUGAAGGAUGACUGCCCUAUGGGUUGUAAACUUCUUUUAUAAAGGAAUAAAACGAGGCACGUAUGCCUUUUUGCAUGUACUUUAUGAAUAAGGAUCGGCUAACUCCGUGCCAGCAGCCGCGGUAAGACGGAGGAUCCGAGCGUUAUCCGGAUUUAUUGGGUUUAAAGGGAGCGUAGAUGGGCUGUUAAGUCAGUUGUGAAAGUUUGCGGCUCAACCGUAAAAUUGCAAUUGAUACUGGCAGUCUUGAGUACAGUUGAGGUAGGCAGAAUUCGUGGUGUAGCGGUGAAAUGCUUAGAUAUCACGAAGAACCCCGAUUGCGAAGGCAGCUUACUAAACUGUGACUGACAUUGAUGCUCGAAAGUGUGGGUAGCAAACAGGAUUAGAUACCCCUGUAGUC
This 460-nucleotide ribosomal RNA is filed under the name uncultured bacterium. RNAcentral's name for it is "partial 16S ribosomal RNA". It matches the Rfam family "Bacterial small subunit ribosomal RNA", at positions 338 to 795 of the family's 1533-position model. The record is from RNAcentral.